Pseudopipra pipra is the source of this 2683-nucleotide long non-coding RNA. RefSeq lists it as uncharacterized. The record is from RefSeq and is a predicted model, not a curated record. The transcript has 3 exons. NCBI's taxonomy places the organism in Eukaryota, Metazoa, Chordata, Aves, Passeriformes, Pipridae.
UUUCAGGGCUUUCUUUAUCAAUAAAUGUAUUGCUGAUGGAAGAUGAAUGAUCUUUUUAUCAGGAAAUGUGCAACACAGACAACAACAGGUUGAAGUUCCACUGGUUGACCAAAGUGCCUCUGCUGUGGCCUGGACUAUUGAUAGCAGAAAAGCUAAGGUGAUCCUUCACUGGUAUUUUAUGAACUACACAUCGGAAAUAAAUUCAGUAAUUAAGGUGGCAGUUUGAAAUAACUCAAUUUUUUUCCCCUUUAUGCUUUUCUGCAGUUUUGAAUUCAAUACAGACUGCCCAUAAGCUACAGGCUAUAUGUAUACCUAGUGAGUCUAUGAUCCUUAUGAUUUUUAGAUAUUUCUUCUUCAGAUGAGGGUUUUCUCACAGUGGGAAGCAUAGUCAUUUUAUAUUCCUUCCCAAAUCCUCAUUCAAACUGACUCUUUCUAAAACCAGAGCUGCAUAAAAGCAUCAUUUAAGGUGCAAUUGCACAACCACUGUGCUCACAAAUAAUAUGCAAGUUUCAGUGACAGGAGUACUCAAAUAUUUGUUUUCUUUUCACUUAUACAACAACAUGAAGACAGCUGCUUGACUAAAUGCUUCACUAUCUCUUAAUAUAAAUUCUUCCUCAUAAUGUUUUUCUCUCUUCUAUCCCCUACCACUUACUUAUUUCUACUCCACCCACUUUCAAUGUUCCUACAAGCUUUUCAAAUUGUUCUGCUGUUUUUGGGUUUAUUUGUGCCGUACACCAUCCAUAAAGGCAUCUCUGGAACUUAUAAGUAGUUUUGCAAAGACAACAGUGGGAGACAGUUACACAUCAUAUUAUUUUUGGCUAGAUCCUACAGGAACAAUGGCUAUUGUUUGGCAAGCUAGCAACAAGGAGGCUGCAUUAAUGAUGUAAGGAUUUAGAGCCUGGGGGUUGUUCCUUGAAUGGUUGUGAGCCAUUUUAAGGUAUGUGUGAUUCAACAACACUUAGCAACAUGUUUUUAAAAAAGAAAAAAGGGAAAAAUGGAAGGUAAAAAAAGGAAAAAAAAGAAAAAGGGCAAAACAACCAUGAACCUGAAACUAUGGAUAAAAAUAAUGUCCCGUAUGAACGUUUGGUUUUUUUCCUCUUGCACAUAAUUGUUACAUGUGUUGAUCAAAAUUGCCAACUUUCUAUUUAUUUUCCCUCUCCCUGUGAUUUCGACUUAAUAAGAUGGUGUCGGCUGUUUGCGGGAUGCCACAGUGGGACAGCAUCGGGGGUGUGGGACAGGGGUUGCUUUUGGGCUGGGGCUGCGUUGGACUCACAGACGUGCAAGUGAAAUAAGGUCAGUGCCAAAAGACUUCCCCAGUGCUUGAGGAGCAAACGCUAGUGCAUCUGUGGGAAUUCAUGAGUCGGAUCUGGUAACGAAAUAUUAAAUUAACACUGUUUAUAAUCUUGAAGCGAGCCCCGGUCGCUGCGUCCCGGAGCGUCACCGGUAACGUUGAAAUCGCCCACAGCCGCACACAGCGCUGCAACGACCUGCUGUGGGAGAGAGGUGGCAGGCUGCCGGGAUGGGAGUCGGCCCUUCCCGGAGCUUGGGGGUGGCGGGGCUCCCCCGGGAGUUCCGCCGGCAGCUCCCGCUCCCGCCCGUGCCCCGCCAUGCUCCGCGCACCCAGCAGGCGGCGCUGUGGGGCCGCCGCGCUCCCGCCGCCCGCGGUUCCUGUCGCCGGGGAAUGGCAGCGAAGGGAGCAGGAACGGCGUCUGAGCCCCGCGUGGAGCGGAGGUGCGGAGUUCUGGGUUUAAGCAGCGGUCCCUCCAUCUGAAUGGGAGGACAUCGUUUCCCUCCCCAUUGAGACUGCACCGUGGAGCAGCAUGAAAGGAUUGCUGUACAGCUGCGCUGGGGCUUCAAGGGCAUCAGGGAAAGGAGCAAAACAAGCCCAAGAUCCCAGCAGUUGUGUUCUGAGGACAGGCAUUCCUGACUGCUUUCCCAAAGUGCAUGCAAAGUGCAUGACUGGAAUCCACUUUCUCUCCAUACAGGAUGUAGCAGAGAACAGUGCCUCUUCUGAGCCCUUUUCGAAGAAAGAAACGACAUCUCCCGUGAUUCUCCUCAAAGCCCUAGUUUCAAAUCCUCCUUAAAUGCCCUGUAUUCCAGCAGCACAGUCACCACAUCAGAUCCCAGAGGUACUCUGGUGUGAGCAAGAGCUUAGGGUGAAAUCUGCCAUUCAACCCCUCUGGUUGGAAGUGGAAAGACCUAUCCCUCUGUUCUGGGGACCAGACUUUGUUUCGAGUUUCUGACAUUUAAACUGUUUGUACUGGACUAUAAGUACAAAAUAAAAGAAUUAAAAAAAAAAAAAAAAAAGAGAAAGAGAUAAAAAUGCACAACAAACCUGCACUUUCUCUUCUUCCCUAAUUCCCUUAAUGUUUUUUCUUCUGUCUCUCUUUCCUCUCACCAGCAUCUUCCAGCUGAAUUCUUUCCGUUUCUCCUUUAGCUCCAACAGAAAAGGAGGGAGGGGUGUGUUUGUGUGUGGGGACCUGUAACAGUUUACAUUCCCCUUGCAAACUUAGCUAGAGCUAGUUAUCUAGAUAAGCUGGGAAAUACUGAAUGCAUGCACGUCUUUCAUUGAGUUAACUUAGUUUACAGUCUAGGCCUAGUAUGUUAACUUCCUAGAUUAGAAUUUUUAUCAGGUGCUUAGCAUAUGAGAAGAACAAUCUUAUGUAUACACAUUAUCUUUUAU